RNAcentral lists this ribosomal RNA (496 nucleotides) under uncultured bacterium. RNAcentral's name for it is "partial 16S ribosomal RNA". It matches the Rfam family "Bacterial small subunit ribosomal RNA", at positions 28 to 507 of the family's 1533-position model. The record is from RNAcentral.
GAUGAACGCUGGCGGCGUGCUUAACACAUGCAAGUCGAACGGAAGGGCGAGAAGCUUGCUGGUCUGAUGUUAGCGGCGGGCGGGUGAGUCACAUGAGGAUACCCUACCUAUAAGUCUGGGAUAACUACGGGAAACCGGAUAUAACACCGGAGAAUAUUUUGAACCGCGGGGUUCGAAAGUGAAAGACGGUCUUGCUGGCACUAAUAGCUGGAUCCGGGCUGGAUUAGCGAGUUGGUAGGGUAACGGCUUACCAAGGGUACGAUGCAUAGCCGACCGGAGAGGGGGAUGGCCCACACUGGAGCUGACCCACGCCCCAGACCCCUAGGGGAGGCACCAGUAGGUAAGCUGGCGCAAUGGCGAAAGCCUGACGCAGCAACGCCGCGUGAGUGAUGAAGGCCUUCGGAUCGUAAAACGCUGUUAUUAGGGAAGAACAGAUGUGGAAUUAACUGUGCAGAGCUUGACGGUACCGGAUCAGAAAGCCACGGCUAACUACGUG